UACUUUGAUUAUUCCGGCUUC
Molecule: non-coding RNA, 21 nt
Filed under: Caenorhabditis elegans
Lineage: Eukaryota; Metazoa; Nematoda; Chromadorea; Rhabditida; Rhabditidae
Source: RNAcentral